RNAcentral lists this unclassified non-coding RNA (698 nucleotides) under Hevea brasiliensis (rubber tree). Lineage: Eukaryota; Viridiplantae; Streptophyta; Magnoliopsida; Malpighiales; Euphorbiaceae. The record is from RNAcentral.
AAAAAAAAGACUCUUUGAAUUCCUCAUGAAUUAGAAGUCCAAAGGAAUUGGACAACAGGAAUGCUGAAAUUUGAUAAAUUCUCAAUAAUUUAAAAUUCUUGAAGUGGAAGAUGGAUGAAAGAAAAUUUAAUAAUUUUAAAGUUAUAGGCAAUCAUGCAUACAAUGGAAAAAGUGUAGAUAAUAUAGCUCCUUUAUACUAAGGGCAGUAUUUAACCACAGGACCAGAGCCCACAUUCACAGAUCAUGCAACGGGAAAAUAUUAAUAUUUAUGAUAUGCUCUAGACUACCAAACUUAAUUUCAGUCCUAGAAUUUCUAUUCUCGAAACCCAAUUAUUUUUUAACCUUCUGAACCUAUAGAUACCCAUCCAAUCACUCUUUCUUCCAAGACAGCUGUGUCUUUUGGUCAUUUACAUUAUCUUGAACCAAGGAUCCAAAGUAUUUUUCAUUUCCUUAUAUUCAUUUGUUCAAUUGGUCUGAAGUGUUGUUAAUGCUUCAAUAAACAUAAACCAUGUUAUUUUUAAGUUUCAAAACCAAAACCUAUCCUUUCUUCACUCCAAUGUCCUGGCACCUCCAAAACAGUCACGCAUGUAAAAUACAAUUAGACCUUCAGUUUAGCUAGGAUAUUAACAACUUUCAAAGCUUAAUGACAAUACAAUCUAACCCAAAGAACCAAUAGCAGAAAUAGAAACAGAGCAACA